Molecule: transfer RNA, 62 nt
Filed under: Tenebrionoidea sp. 10 KM-2017
Lineage: Eukaryota; Metazoa; Arthropoda; Insecta; Coleoptera
Description: tRNA-Glu
Source: RNAcentral
AUUUAUAUAGUUUAAAUAAAACAUUAUAUUUUCAAUAUAAAAUUAAUGAAAGUUUAUAAAUA